Coffea arabica (coffee) is the source of this 1994-nucleotide long non-coding RNA. RefSeq lists it as uncharacterized. The record is from RefSeq and is a predicted model, not a curated record. Lineage: Eukaryota; Viridiplantae; Streptophyta; Magnoliopsida; Gentianales; Rubiaceae.
AAAAAUGACCAACCUCAGCCCGAAACCGCCUCCCAUCAGUCGGUUUAAUUCCCUAUAAAUUCCUACCACACCUCUCCUCUCUUUGUCAUGCCUCCGUACCUUUAAAGUCCCUUGGUCUAUUCUCUCCUCAACAAGCAGCUGUGAUGCAGUUCUCCCAUCUGAAUCUUCAAACGCGUUGGCUCGACAGCGACGCAGAUUUGUGUGAUGGGAGCUCGACGUUUCCUCGAAGGCGACGCAGAUUUGUAGGAUGGGAGCUCAGGUCAUGAGCUUUCUAUAUUUGUUGCAGAGUUUGCAGGCUGCUGGUCUGGAAGCGGUUGCUACAUCGGUUGGAGAAAACAAGCGAUUGAAACCGGGUGUUCCUGGUUCCAAAUCUGUGAUGCUUUCUGGUAAAUUUUGGGCAAGCAAGGUUCGAAGUUACCAGUUAAUUGGAGAUUCCAGAUUGUACCAGGAUGUAGAAAAAGGAAAAAAAUUGUGGUUCAGAAUCCUAUUGUCAAUCUGUUUUCAUCCUGACCUUUGCCAUGGCAGGUGCGCUUGCAUGGCAGGUCACUAUGAUUAAUGAAAGAUAAGAUUUUUGGGUUUGGAGGGAGGGGAGAUCGCACGGGGAACAUUUUAUCUUUCAGCCCGGGUUCUCCCCCCUUCCUCGUGUGUGUGUGUGUGUGCGCGUCUUCUCUCAAUUCUCUCAGCAAAUCUCCCAGUUUUGCAAGCGAACCAACUGUUGAUUUGUGUGCCCUUACAUAGACGGAGCGUUCUCAACUCAGGUACAAAUUAUACAGUUUCUGGCUUUUAAUUUGCACUAAUUCACGAUAAAGCAUAUAUUUGUAGCUAAUAUCACCACCUCCCAAGAGGCCCAUAAAAUAAUAAUGAACACCUAUAACGUGCUCACCUUGAAAAAACAGGCAUUAUUGGUAAUUCAAAACACUGUUAGAAGAAUUUAUACCAAUUGAUAGCCAUCAUAUUUUUUGAGGUGUAAUCCUUCUCUUCAAUAAGUAAUAAUUAAUGCAUCCAUUUUACAUAUUGCAGACCUGAUACAUGUUCAUAAUCUCAAAGUUCCAUAAUUUAAAAGGUUUCAGACCAAGCUUUCGUAUAAUGCUGAUUACAGUUGGCUUGUAUGCAUGUCACGAUGACUUGCUUCAAUCGCGUGUCCCAAAAUUCGCUUUUAACACUGCAUUUUGAAUUCAGAGGUGGAAUGUAAGUUUCUGUUUUUUUCUGGCCGACAAUUUAAUGGUGGUUGGGUUCUGGGUUUGAGCUUAGGUGUUUUCUUUGUAAUUUAUUUUCAAGUUUGUAUUACAUAUUUCCCUUUGUACAGUUUCAAUCUUGUAUUUGCUACCCUAGGAGCUAUGGUUUUUGUUGGCUCAACAACUUUCUUCUGGGUGGUGGAGUUUUGUUUUCUUGAUGGAUAGAUUGGGUACUUUCCACCCAUAUAUUUGUUCGAUACCUAAUAUUCUUGCAUCAGGAUGUAUAUGUGCUCUUUCUACUGGUGAUACCAGCAUCCAGGCACCGAGUUUCUUAAACUGGAAGCUUACUCUGAAUUGUUGAUGGAAGUGCUCAUCUGAUUCUUUUUUUCGGAUUCGAUCUUGAGCUAAAAUGCAGAGGACAAGAUUUGAGCAUCAUCUGGGACGAAGGUUUCACACCUUGUCCCUUUUGGAUUGGAAGUUUGUUGAUGUAACCUUGGCUCAUUCUGGCCACCCCAUUUGAUUGGGAAGUUUCACUCAGCUCAUCUGGCUGAGCCCUUCAAAAUGCGUGGCCCUAGGCAAGGAGAGCAAAAUGCUUACCUCUAGGCAAGGAGGUGCAAUGAGUAUUGAUUAUUGAAGCCAACAGUUGUUUAGUAUUUUAUCUCUUAGUGCUUGAUGGAACUUGGAAGCCAACCUUUGUACUACGCGCUGGUUGUAUGUCAUCCAACUCAUUUUUUUGAACUGAGCUAGCAGCAUGAAGACGGAAUUGUUUUAAGGUGAUCUCUUAACAAAUGCUAUCUAGUAUUUUGCAUUUUUUGCAUC